Molecule: long non-coding RNA, 282 nt
Filed under: Monodelphis domestica (gray short-tailed opossum)
Lineage: Eukaryota; Metazoa; Chordata; Mammalia; Didelphimorphia; Didelphidae
Description: lncRNA (ENSMODG00000045147.1)
Source: RNAcentral
AUGAACCAAAGCCAGAGCAUAAGAAAAGGAGAAGGGAACACAAAAAGAGGCACUGAACAGUGUCAAGGAAGCACAAAGUUAACCUGCAUGGUGCCAAUCAAGAACACAGUCAAAGAGACCAACCAAUCCUGUGUGACACAUUUUCUGUAGUACUGGCUGCUGAUUGGGUAAGUACAUAAUUGCUACUAUAGGUUUAUGUGACAUAAAUCACUUGAAUCAGGCCCUGAUUCAAGGACCUGUUAUAGGCUUAUUUUUCCUUUACUUAGAAUUUUUAUACAUAAG